GACGAACCGUGCAAACGUUGUUCGGAAUCACUGGGCUUAAAGGGCGCGUAGGCGGCUUGUCAAGUCAGGGGUGAAAUCUUUCGGCUUAAACGGAAAAGUGCCUUUGAUACUGACAGGCUCGAGGGAGGUAGGGGUAUGUGGAACUUCUGGUGGAGCGGUGAAAUGCGUAGAUAUCGGAAGGAACACCGGUGGCGAAAGCGGCGCGCUGGACCUCUUCUGACGCUGAGGCGCGAAAGCCAGGGGAGCAAACGGG
RNAcentral lists this ribosomal RNA (253 nucleotides) under uncultured bacterium. RNAcentral's name for it is "partial 16S ribosomal RNA". It matches the Rfam family "Bacterial small subunit ribosomal RNA", at positions 524 to 776 of the family's 1533-position model. The record is from RNAcentral.